RNAcentral lists this ribosomal RNA (305 nucleotides) under Listeria monocytogenes. RNAcentral describes it as "bacterial LSU rRNA". It matches the Rfam family "Bacterial large subunit ribosomal RNA", at positions 2623 to 2925 of the family's 2925-position model. The record is from RNAcentral. Lineage: Bacteria; Bacillati; Bacillota; Bacilli; Caryophanales; Listeriaceae.
GAGACAGUUCGGUCCCUAUCCGUCGCGGGCGCAGGAAAUUUGAGAGGAGCUGUCCUUAGUACGAGAGGACCGGGAUGGACACACCGCUGGUGUACCAGUUGUUCCGCCAGGAGCAUCGCUGGGUAGCUAUGUGUGGCAGGGAUAAACGCUGAAAGCAUCUAAGCGUGAAGCCCCCCUCAAGAUGAGAUUUCCCAUUUCUUCGGAAAGUAAGAUCCCUGAAAGAUGAUCAGGUAGAUAGGUUUGGAGUGGAAGUGUAGCGAUACAUGGAGCGGACAAAUACUAAUCGAUCGAGGACUUAACCAAAA